RNAcentral lists this ribosomal RNA (397 nucleotides) under uncultured bacterium. Its description in RNAcentral is "partial 16S ribosomal RNA". It matches the Rfam family "Bacterial small subunit ribosomal RNA", at positions 523 to 918 of the family's 1533-position model. The record is from RNAcentral.
AUACGUAGGGGGCGAGCGUUGUCCGGAAUGAUUGGGCGUAAAGGGCGCGUAGGCGGCGCGGUAAGUCUGGCGUGAACGUCCUGCUUUCAAGGUGGGAAUUGCUUUGGAUACUGCCGCGCUUGAGUGCAGGAGAGGUUAUCGGAAUUCCCGGUGUAGCGGUGAAAUGCGUAGAGAUCGGGAGGAACACCAGUGGCGAAGGCGGGUAACUGGACUGCAACUGACGCUGAGGCGCGAAAGUGUGGGGAGAAAACAGGAUUAGAUACCCUGGUAGUCCACACUGUAAACGAUGAAUGCUAGGUGUAAGAGGUAUCGACCCCUUGUGUGCCGGAGUCAACACAAUAAGCAUUCCGCCUGGGGAGUACGGCCGCAAGGUUGAAACUCAAAUGAAUUGACGGGG